Molecule: non-coding RNA, 6384 nt
Organism: Aegilops tauschii subsp. strangulata
Lineage: Eukaryota; Viridiplantae; Streptophyta; Magnoliopsida; Poales; Poaceae
Source: RefSeq, a predicted model, not a curated record
CCGGCCCACCCGCAGCCCGUGCGGUCCGCUCUUUACGCGACGUGACGACGCGCAUCGCGUUUUGCGGCUAGGUUUGUUAUUUUUCGUCCUCGCCUUAUCCCUUGGCCGCUCCCUCUCCCUCUCUCUCUUCCCCUGGUUUCUGGAUCUCGCCAUGGAACCCCCCUCCUCGACGGAUCUCGCCGGCGGACGACCGACCGCCCUGGCGCAGGUGGUGUCUCGCCCUGCCAGUCUGCCAUGCGCCGGGCGCCGGCACCUGUUCCUUCCACCGGCGGACUGUGAACGCGCCGUGCCAACAUGCAUGGCGGAGCACGUACCCUACUGGUGAAGAGGGAGACGCUGCUCGCCGAGCGGCGUGCCUCGGCACACCAGACACGAGUCUCGCCCGUUGCCGGCCCUGACCGGCGGCUUACACCUCCAGCUCUCCCGUACCUACGGUCAACCGAAGCCGAGACCAAGGCGCGUUGAUCUCAAUCUUCCUGUUCGUUUUCAAUCCGAAGGUGCAGGUUUCUUCAUGGAUUGCCAGUUCGCCGCGUUUGAUUUUGCGUGUCAGACGAGAGAAAGAAUAGAAAAUAGGAAAAUAAAACUCGGUUCUACUACUGAACCGUAAGUUCAGUUUAUUUUGUUCGAAAAGAAAGUGUUUGGUCUAUUUUACUCCCUCCGUCCCAUAAUAUAAGAACGUUGUUGACACAACACUAGUGUCAAAAACGUUUUUAUAUUAUGGUGCGGAGGGAGUACUUGUCAAGGAUCGUCAUAUGUCUUUCGUUACUUGAUUUCCUUCACUACUUCCUUUCGUUACUUAUAUUAUGGUUUUCUAAGUUACUCGUUUUUUUUGUAAGUUCAAUCUUUCAAUUCCUUUUUGAUUAAACUGUAUCCUUUUUUUUAUGUUAUGGCUGAUGUUUAGCAGGAUUAAGAAUUCGUUCACGCCCCACGAAUCCUUGUUCGAAUGUAGACAUAAAGGUCAUUGCGAGGUCUGUCCAUUGGAUUACCAGUUCCUCGUUCGAUCGUUUUGAUCCCAUGAUGUUCGAGGUUGUUUCAUUUGUGAAAAAUCACUGGCGAGACCCUAAGAACCAUUUUGAUUUUAAGUUCAGUUUAUUUUGUCCAUUCCAAAAAUAAGUAUUCGGUUUAUUUUACUUGUAAGGAAUCGAGUUUAUUUUUACUUGUCAAGGUCCGUUAUUGAAAUUUCAUGGCUGAUUUGUUGUUACAAUCUUUCUUCUUCUUUUUCAAUUAAAUAAACCAUAUCAUUUAUUUUCUUUUUUAAAAUGUUUUUAGAUGUUAUGUCUACUGCUUAACAGGAUUAAGAAUUAGUUCAUGCCUCAUGAAUCCUUUUUCGAGAGUGGACAUAAAGGUCACUGCAAGGUCUGUCCAUUGGAUUACCAGUUCAUCGCUCAAUCGUUUAGAUCCCAAUGAUGUUCGAGGCUGUUUCUUUAUAAAAAAUGUUGGAGAGACCCUUAGAAGAAUAUUGAUUGGAAGUUUAGUUUAUUUUGUCCCUUCUAAAAGAAAAGGCAUUCCGUUUAUUUUACUCGUCAGGAAUUGAGUUUAUUUUUACUUGUCAAUGUCCGUUAUUGAAAUUUCAUGGCUGUUUAAAUUACAAUCGUUCUGCUUCUUUUUUUUAUUAUUAAACUGUAAUAAUUUAUUUUCUUUUUUUAAUGUUUUUUGGAUGUUAUGUCUGCUGCUUAACAGGAUCAAAGUUCAUGUGGACGUAAAAGGUCAGUAGGAGAUUUGAUUCAGUAGAAGUGUCGUCAGAUGGUUCUUCCGACAAGUCCAGACUGGAGUAGUCAGUAUCAGGACUACUAGUAUUUUGGUAAUGGAGCUAUCUAUCUUCUUUCUUUGCAGUCUUGUGUUGUUUUCCCUCUCUCGGGAUCCAAAAAGGCAUCCAUGAAGAUGCUUGCUUGUACACUAGCUAGGAGUAGUCAUGCAUUGUAGGCGUGCAAUGCUCUGUCUGUCUCAACCUGCCAAAGGUUCUCUUCUGAUGGAUGAACUCAUCAACACGACAGCACUUUAUAAUCGGUGGAUUUGUGUGUGGUUUGACCAGUCUCGUUCCCUCCCGCCCGUAUAUCAUUGGUACAAUCUACAAUCUCGUUCAUUCACUCUUAUUGUUUUCUGAACUUAAACAUUUUUGCGUUUCAUUUCAACUUGCUUUUGUUUUUCACUUGUCAUGAUGCUUUUAGGCAACUAGAGAGCCACGUUUGCCACUUCAGAACCAAUGAUUUGCUUGCAAAACCCUCUUAUAUUUUUGGAGCAGAGGAAGUAAUUAUUUAUUCAGGUUUAGCUUAUGAAUUAGCUAGUUGCACGCAUAUGCAUGCUCGCUUUCUGGCUUGGGGUAGGUGGGCUGUUUUAGGGAAUGGUAGCAUGUUCGUUCGUGACUGUAGUUACGUGAUUGGCAAGGGCAAAGGAGUAGUUUACUUAAAAGAAAGUCAAAGGGAGAAACGAAAUUUUCAAGUAGACGCGUCCAAGUACAUGAUAUUAGACAGGUCAGCCCACUAAAAAUUUCUAGACUUAUCUAAUCCUGCUCCAGGAUCUCAAAAAAGGAAGAUCUCAAUCUUUUAGAACCUCGUAUAUAUUUUGUGGUGAGCAGCAGACCCAACUGGGCAAGCUGAGCCUAGACCCAAUGCAGGAUAUCAAACACAACUAUAAGCAAGACCCAGAUACAGUAUAGGAAGCUUAAGCUUCAUCAGGAAAUAGACCACAACACUAAAGAUAACAAACAACAAAGAAUUAAAAGGCAUAUUUGGGUAACAUCUUUGAAGAACCAAAAUUGUAUAAUGCAUAGGUAACAAAAAUCACGGAGCUAUCAAUGUUGCAUGGUUCAGAACGUUUCAUGUCUGAGUGUAGCCAUAUGCAAAGGAAAACAAAACGGCGGUACGGCAUUGUAUUGUGUUUAUUACAACAAAUCAGUGCCUGUUAGUCGACAAGCACAAUGAUUUUGGUAAUAAUUGACUUUGGAGCACUUGGUUGAUGCCGACCAUAUUAUUCCUUGCUUCAGAGUCUGCAAAUGGAAAACAGAUUCUAUGAGAAGUUUUACAAGCUUUCCCCAGUUACCAGUAAUACUUGAAAAACUGAAAGCUGCUGCUAGUCUAAUUUCAUGCAAAACAGUUUUCAACACUAAUCUUUUAUGCCUUUUGUUUAAUAUAAAUUAGGCUAUCCUAACAAUACCCUGAGCAUCUGCAUGUUGUGCAAAACAAAGAUAUAAAAGUCAUGUUAUGAAUUAGAAUUACUAUAAAUCAGUUAGUGAAGUCAUCCUCAGAUAUCCAGUUUAAUGUAAUAUCAACUCUGAUUGAAAAAUAUUGUCCAGUAUAAUCUCUCUAGAUAGUUGCAUCUAUUAUCAUUAUACUUGCUGGCUAUGUCCAAAACAGUACUCAUAUUUAGAAACUGCUUCAAUAUGUACUUGAAAAUACGUUGUAUAUGAUCCUGAUACUUGGGAGAGAAGUCCUGAGCUCCGUCGCCGUGUACGUAGGGUCAAGUUUCUCUCUCUCCGUCUGUACUGACCCCACUGUCAGUGGGUGGGAGAAACUCCAUCUGUGCGGGGCCCAAUUGUCAGCGAGCGCGAUAGAUUAAAAUGCUGAGUGCCGUGGGAGUUUGAACCGUGACUGGACGAGUUCGCUGGUGUGACGCAUCACGCAUGCACGUGCUAACCAUCUGAACCGAUGCUACUUCUUGGAAGAUAUUGAGGGUUCUACUUAUCAAAGAAUUGCCUCGUGGGCCUUCGUGCAUUUCUGUGUAUUACUUCAGGGUUGAAAGCUUAAACACACAGUACUGAAUAAUUCAUUGACCAGAAGGUGCAAUAUAUACAUUAUACACCAAUUGGUGAGAAACCAUAUGUAGAUCUUUUCUAGAAUAUGUAGAAUUUAUAGAAAUAAGGAAUAUAAAUUCUAAAACGAGUACAUCAUUAUGUAGUGCUACAGUAAAGAGCAAAUGCUUAAUGAUGUGCUCCACCCGAUCCAUAUUAAUUCUCUCAAACUAAUAUUGUUCGGAGGAAGUACUUGAAUUCACCAUUAGAGGAGAGAAAUGCACAUGGUUCAUAUUUGAAAUAUAUUCAAUCAACUAAAAGGAAGUCGAGUUAUACUUGACGCAAUAAUCAAACAAGAGGUUAAUUUAUUACUCUGAACAUUUAGAAUAGCAAACUAGCACGAGAAAAUCUACCAAAAAUUAGUCCAGCCACACAAUGAAAAUAAAUAUGAACGUGAAGAAAUAGUCGAAAGUGUGCCUUCACUGAAACAAUGAAAUAUAUCUUACCUAGAACACAUUUAGAAAAAGUUUUUUUCAUAUGUGACCAUUAUUCUGAGUUUCUGACAUCUAAGUAAAGACUUUUCAUGUAUGAGAUAAAAUGUGGUUUCUGACAUCUAAGUAAAGACUUUACAUGCAUGAGAUAAAAUGUGACAAGCUAAAGUAAUUAGUCCAACAAAAUGAAAGAACAUACACUAAUAUGCAAGAAAUUUCUUUGUCUGUUUAUCCCAAUCUAAAAGUAAUGUGCAUCUGUUUAGUACCACCUACAAACAUUAGCUAGGUUGGCUAACACACUCGUCCUGUAACCUGAGGUCGCAAGUUAGAAACUGUGCCAACCAUUUUUAACUUCUUCUACCCGCCAUUUCUUUCGGCAACCCAUGACAGGUAGGUCCCACUCAGACGGAGAUAGAGUGAUGAGCGUGCUAUACAAAAUACGUACGCGGUGAUGGGACUCAGGACUGUUCUUCCAAGUAUCAGGAUCGUACUAAAGCACUUUGUAAGUACGAGGACUUUUUUAGACCUAGGCAUCAAGUAUUCAGUGAUCAAGAUAACAUGAGUUAGUCUGGAUCCUAAAUCUUACUUAAAUUAAAUCUAACAUGCAUCAUAAAUAAAUUCCCAACUGGAGACUUUAGGGAGUAUCAUACACAAAAUGGAGACUAAUUCUGUACAUAUGUAUAGGGCAGUUUACUAUUAAUUUAGACUCAACGAAACAUUCGUUAAUUUCCUAAUUGAUGAUGGUAGCAUUUGAUAGCAUUAAUCUGAUUUAAGAUUUUCCAUGCAAGUGAAUCAUCUACCAGGACUUCAAUUAUACCUUGGUUUACUCUUUCAUUCGCGGAUAUCCGACCUUGCACCAGCCACUCGAUAGGCCUGUUCUGGUCUUCUUUGAUUUCUUUAAUGUUUCAGUAUCCUUAGCCUGCUGGAUCUUUACUACACGGAAAUGAGCUUCAUCUGCCAUUCUGUCCAAUUACCCAAUAGUUUAGUGUCAUCUCUGUUGUUACACAUGCAGCUACAUCAAGAUAAAUGUGACGAUUCUGAAAUUGACACUUACAUGUGUUCAUCAAUGUGCUUUGGAUACUUGCUAAUCCUUAUGUCCUACUAUACAUUCUUUGUAUGGACAUUGGAUGGUCAUUUCGGUGUCUUCUAGAUGCGCCUCCUCGUUGUUUCUGCAGAAAAGAAGAUUUUGUAAUCUCAGUCAGGAACCAGGGAAAAUUCAGAUAAUCUUGCGGCGUCACAGAUCUACAAGGAAAGCUUUUGGUUCUAACUGAAAUAGGGGAUUAGUUCAGACAAACAAAGCUGCUCUCAGAAGAAUAAAGGCCAGCGCUUGAACUGUUCUGCACAUGCUAUUUCACAAGAAUAUGACAACGCUUGCAGUAAAGAGUCCUUCGUUACCUACAUGCUACUAUUUCACAAGCAUAUGGCAGCGCUGUUGCUGCACAUGCUACUUCACAAGCUGGAUGCUUCUGUGCAAUUACUGAGACUAAGGUUCCGAGACAACUGAACCUGGCGACGACUCUAACCAUCCACACACAACGCCAGGAUUUCAAAUCUACGCGGCACUAACCAAUGAGCCCUGGCGUCCUGGCGACAUGGAGGCAUCUGGUUGCUCCAAAAAAGGAAACUGUAAAGAUUCCGAUAAGCUUCGGUUUCUUACCGAUGAGUUUUCGAGUGAGUGGCAUAACGACGGAAGGCAAUCCAAGCCUUGCAUUUCUUACAGUACACCGGUGGCCUGCGGACUUUGCAGAUGCUAUCCCAAAAUUUUGCAAACCCGUCGGGGAUAUUGGACCACUUGGCCAGCGCAGACCCGAUCUCCCCGGCGGCCAUAAAGGCUGCCAUUGCGGGGGCCAUCUGCGCCGGUUCUUCUUUGGAUUGUCGGGAGAGAAGGGACGGUAGGUUCGUCGGCGGCGUGCAGGACGAGUGGAGGAGGAUACUCGCGUGCCCCUUAGGUUAAAACUCACCCUCUGCGUUGGUUGUAUGGGCCAGGCCUUAUCUGUUUUGGACGUGAUGGUUCGACUUUCAUGGUUUGUUUGGGCGCGAGAGCUGUCUUUCGCAUUAAGUGAUAGGGCAGCAGCUGAUUUUUCUUGUCUCCUGUAGCAACUGGGCAAGCCCAAUUUACUUUAAUUAAUAUUUUUAAUACAUUCAAAUUUUUUCAUCAUUUUUUAA